GACGUAGGUGGCGAGCGUUGUCCGGAAUUAUUGGGCGUAAAGGGCGUGUAGGCGGCCUGUCAAGUCAGACGUGAAAUCCCUGGGCUUAACCUUGGGACUGCGUUUGAUACUGAUGGGCUUGAGGACAGGAGAGGAAAGUGGAACUCCGUGUGUAGCGGUGAAAUGCUCAGAUAUACGGAAGAACACCAGUGGCGAAGGCGACUUUCUGGACUGUCCCUGACGCUGAGGCGCGAAAGCCAGGGGAGCGAACGGG
Molecule: ribosomal RNA, 253 nt
Filed under: uncultured microorganism
Description: partial small subunit ribosomal RNA
Rfam family: Bacterial small subunit ribosomal RNA
Source: RNAcentral